CUUCAAGAACAUCGAUUUUUAGGGUGAUGCUCCCAACUUUCCAUCCAUGAGCUCCCAGCACUCCUUUCUUGCCCUCUCCUAUGGCCACCGGGGUGCCCACAUAGCACCAGGCAAUCUUAAAAGUGCUUUUCCAAGUAAAACCCGAGCACCCGGCAGCCAAGAGCUUCCUCCGUGGCUUUUAAUCCUGGUGCAUGAUAAAAUUUGGGACGUGAAGCUGAUCAGCAUCGUUUCAUCUGCCAAAGCGUCUGCAGGACGGCGCAGGGGCGGUGGAGACCUGACUUGAAUUAUUUUGACACUUUCAGUCGUGCGCUAGGAAAAA
This is a long non-coding RNA of Falco peregrinus (peregrine falcon), 319 nucleotides long. RefSeq lists it as uncharacterized. The record is from RefSeq and is a predicted model, not a curated record. The transcript is spliced from 2 exons. Lineage: Eukaryota; Metazoa; Chordata; Aves; Falconiformes; Falconidae.